UAUAUAUAUAUAUAUAUAAUUCAACAGCCAAGAUCAAGCAUCCCAUCGACAUCCCAUUCAAAAGGAGCAGGGCAAAUUACACCAAUAACCUGGCAUGCUGCUAUCAAUUGGUGGAGUGUAAGGGGAUUCUUUGAAGAAAAAUAGUGUCAAAGCUUCCCAACAGAACUCAGCUCUAUGGUUAGGCGGUAGAAACGAACAAUGAUAAGACUAUGACUAGUUGACUACUACUAGUCUACUACUGUUACAAUUUCACCUUUUGUGGGUCCCUACAAGUGGUGAGAUCAAUAAGGCAGCAGCAUGUUACUACAACAAUGGUGGGGCUUAUUCCCUCCAAACCCUACAGAACGUAUAUACUUGCCUUGGUAAAUCUACAGCCUACAAAAUGUAUCCAAGAAAAUUAAAGCUGUUAAAUCUUUCAAUCAAAUUGUUAAGAUCAUAUUAUGGCAAAGCAACCACUUGACUGUAUGAAACAUUUAGUGGACUGCAUGAAGGAAAGUUUCUUACUUCUUGAAACCAAACUGUCAUUCAAAAAUAUAUACAUAAAAAAAUUCUUUCUUUUGAAUACAUAGCAAUUGAAUAGCAGGUAUCAGAGAAGCAUAUAGAGGCAAAAUUGUAAACGCAAAUGUGAUAGCAACUAACACACUGAACUAAUUCAUUCGAAAAUAGGAGAAAAAUAAAUAACCAAAAGUCAAGCACGCAUGCAUCUCUAAGUGCAAGCCUAUCAAAUAAAUCAACCAAGUUCCCAAAAGUCCAAUUAAAAGCAUCCCUACCCCAAAAAAGAAAUACAUAAUACGAAGCAAUAAAAAAAUUGAAAGAAAAGAUCUGAACUGAUAAAUACGAAAUAGAAGUAUCAUUCUAAAAAUGAUCCAUUAGAAAACUAUGCAUCUAAAAAGCUACCAGGUUUACAAGAAAGCAAGUUGAAGCCGCCAGUGCUUUAAGCAAAUAAAUGGAUUGGAUAAAACAGUCUUCCAUUUUGAGAUCCAUAAAACCUUGUGAAUAUCAAGUAGAAUUUUCUCUUCUGAAAAAAAAAGGAACACAAAA
Molecule: unclassified non-coding RNA, 1041 nt
Filed under: Hevea brasiliensis (rubber tree)
Lineage: Eukaryota; Viridiplantae; Streptophyta; Magnoliopsida; Malpighiales; Euphorbiaceae
Source: RNAcentral